ACACCGCCCGUCACACCAUGGGAGUCGGAAAUGCCCGAAGUCAGUGACCUAACCCGAAAGGGAGGAGCUGCCGAAGGUGGAGCCGGUAACUGGGGUGAAGUCGUAACAAGGUACC
RNAcentral lists this ribosomal RNA (115 nucleotides) under uncultured bacterium. RNAcentral describes it as "partial 16S ribosomal RNA". It matches the Rfam family "Bacterial small subunit ribosomal RNA", at positions 1387 to 1500 of the family's 1533-position model. The record is from RNAcentral.